This is a long non-coding RNA of Bombus pascuorum, 1260 nucleotides long. RefSeq lists it as uncharacterized. NCBI's taxonomy places the organism in Eukaryota, Metazoa, Arthropoda, Insecta, Hymenoptera, Apidae. The transcript has 4 exons. The record is from RefSeq and is a predicted model, not a curated record.
CGAGAGCAUUCGCUGUAAAGGACCGCAUAGUGGCUUCUCGACGAGCGUUACAGGUUAUGUCACGUAAUACACGCCCGCGAUGACUUAUCGGUUGAGGCUCGAGGUCGCAACGUCGAACGAGAAUAGGUCAAACACGAACAAUAUGAAUAUUAGGGGAAUUAUUUACGUUAAUGUGCACGUACAACAUAAUGUUCUUUUAACUAACGAUACUACAAUCUGAUAUCUAUUGACGGUGUGAAACUUCUUAGAGAAACAUAUUGUGUACAUUAUAAAUAAAUCAGAGACUAGAACACAGGUACUGAAUUAAAAUUUUCGAUAUUUAAAAAUCUUUUCGUUCUAAAUAUGUGAAAAUUUUUAAGCUGAAACGUAGGAAAAAAAUUACGACUUUACCUGAACGAAUUAUCUUGAAUGUAUUUUUAUUUCGAAUGUAUACAGCUUAUAUUUCAAAAUAAAAAUAGACUCAAAUUUUGGAUGAACUGUAAAUAAUUAUAGCAAUAAUCUUAUAUAAUUUUAAUCAGAGCAUUACGAUAUAUUAAUUUAUUAAAAAUAUGGAUUCUAUUUUUGUCGGUUAAAUUAGCAUCUUUUAAAUAUAUUAUGUUGACUUAUAACCUUUCGAUUGGUCAUUUCAAGUUAGCUAAAGAUUUCUUGGAAGAGCAUCAGCGAAGAAGAAUAGUCAUUGGAGAGUAAUUAUUUCUAUCUAUACGACCGGACUUCACAGUUUCGCAAUAUACGAGGAUAUGAGAAAAGAAUUUAAAAAUUAUUUCCCUUACAAAAAAAUAUUUUAUAUUGCAACGUUUGAAUUAAUUGUACAAUAAAAGUAAAAUAUUAAAUUGAAAAUUUUUGAAUGUAAAAAAACAUAAUGGAAAAAGUAAUGUUAUUAUCAACAGAGUUACAAGAUUUCAUAAUGACAUUGUCAAAAUAUACAAUCACUAUUUUAUCCUUAAGGAAGAAUAGUAUUUUAUUUACUAACAAUCUAAUUGCGGAGAAACCUGCAAAUAUGUAUUUUACAGUAUUUAAUUUUAUGAAGGAACGUGCACAGAUUGAUUCGAUGUGGGCGAGUCAACGUUUCGGAUUUCAUGCAUCGUUAUCGACGAAAGGAUAACACAAAGCUAAAUACUAAAAAUUCAUAGCAACAGCUAGACUUCGUCAACCAUCCGUGGGUUAGAGUUCAUAACCUCUUCUAACCUUUACCUUUCCUUUGCCUCCUUCCCCCCCGUGCCUAACCCCACCGCUCACCUUUAUAGCCACUCGACAAUACAU